GCUUCUUAACCAGGGGAGUUGACCACUCCCUGUAAUUCAUUUGCUCCAUGUUUUGAAAACAGGGAGGCACACUCUUGCAAAAUGGUCCCUUCUCUCCCUCCUCCAUUUCGAUGCUAUAUCCAGGAGUGAAAACUCUCCAGCCUUGUCUUGGUUUCUAUGGGGCUCUUAAGCCCGAUGCAGGAGAUUGGUUGAAAAAACUUAUAUCAGAAGAUAUUCCGACGGUAUUCCAAGAAUAGGCUCCAACGCUUCAAAUUGGAAGGUUAAUUCUGAAGCGCCUAACCACCUCGGAACCCCGUUCGAAUGAAUUACGAUUAACAGAUUAUUACGAUUAACAAUGAUUCUGAUUAAUUCGUCCAUGCCUAGUAGCUACUAUUAGCCCCCAAACUAUGUAUGUUAUAGAGGAUUGGUUUUCAAAAUACUGUAUAGAGGAUUUAAAGGAUUUUUUAAAUUGCCAAAAGUUGCAAAGACUUUUGUUUCAGCUACCACCAACAACACCAACACUUCUCCUGGGGUUUAACACCAAUAGAGUCACAAUAUAUUUCUCAGAUGUUUCUUUCCUGAAGGUUUUAACUAUAUUCCUCAAAGAGGCUUCCUUAAAAAAAAAAAAACAAUUCUCAUCUGUCUAUUUUCAAAUUUCAAACUCCAACUCCCAACUGAAAAAGAAUUAUUUGGCUGCCUAGCUCCAACUGUCACUUUGGCUCCGCCCAUCUCCAGUUGCUAAGCAACCUAUUCAUUUGCAUCAGCCAAUCAGACUUUUCCUAUUCUCUGUUAGUCUAACUCCUUCCUAUAGCCUUCUGUCCAUUCUCCACAAACACUCUAUUCUUUUCAGCAACAAAGCAUCUUGGUCAGUUAGAUACAUAUAAAUUAAGGUAUACUCUCUUUUUCUCUUAUAUUACAUAUUCUAAUCCUUAGUUUAGAAAAGGUGAGUAGUGCUGCGGUUUCUCAUUCACUGGGUUACAAUAAGUCAAAGCUAACUUGACAGCAAUUAACAACAACCACCAUCCCAGAACAGGAUGUUGUAAUGACCUCUAGCUUAGAACUUUGUAUAGGAUGUUACAUAAAACAUACUUUUGUAAAAGCUUGAAGCAGUCUAUUAUACCACCAUUUGAUACUGUCUGAUAUUUGGCUGAUUGGAUUCUUUGUUCCUGAAAAGAAUAGGGUGUUUGUGGAGAAGGAACAGAAGAACACUGAGUUCUCUUACACAAAAAGGAGUCACUCACUUCCGUGUGCAGAAAAAAAGUGCUGACUUUAAAAAGAUAAUGUCGACAGCUCUACUCUCUGGCUCACGCGAGUACAGGGUUGUAAUCUUUUGCACGGUACCCAUCUUUUGUCAUUGUGCAGAUAUUCUGCCCAAGUUUAAUUAAAAAUAUGUUCAAGCUGAUCAACUCUUGAGUCUUUCAAUGAGACAGGACCUUUUUGGAAGUAGUAUCCCAGUUAUGGGGCAGACUCUUUAUAGCACCAAUGAAUAUCUAUUUACACAGGCAUUAUCCAGUAACUUAUUAAUACACCCAACUCUACAAAUCUGACAGGGACGGUCUAUAUUGAUUCUCUGUCAUCUCAUUUUUCUAUUGCUUUUAAAAUGUCCCAGUUUCUACCUCUUUUUCCUUUGUUCUUAGUUUAUUUUAAUUGCUGCAAACUGAGUGUCAAGGGCAUUGAAUGGUUGGCAACACUGUGAACCGCCCUGAGUCCCCUUCGGAGUUGAGAAGGGCGGUGUAUAAAUAACACAAAUGAAUAAAUAAAUAAAUAAAUUGCACUCAGUGAACUCAGCAGGGGAGAAAAGAGAAGAGGAAUAUUGCUUUUCACAGUAAG
Anolis carolinensis (green anole) is the source of this 1809-nucleotide long non-coding RNA. The record is from Ensembl. Lineage: Eukaryota; Metazoa; Chordata; Lepidosauria; Squamata; Anolidae.